This 333-nucleotide ribosomal RNA is filed under the name uncultured bacterium. RNAcentral describes it as "partial 16S ribosomal RNA". It matches the Rfam family "Bacterial small subunit ribosomal RNA", at positions 338 to 668 of the family's 1533-position model. The record is from RNAcentral.
CCUACGGGAGGCAGCAGUGAGGAAUAUUGGUCAAUGGGCGAGAGCCUGAACCAGCCAAGUCGCGUGAAGGAUGACGGCCCUACGGGUUGUAGACUUCUUUUGUCAGGGAGCAAUUGGGUCCACGCGUGGGCUUAGCGCGAGUACCUGAAGUAAAAGCAUCGGCUAACUCCGUGCCAGCAGCCGCGGUAAUACGGAGGAUGAGAGCGUUAUCCGGUGUGAUUGGGGUAAAAGGGUGCGGAGGCGGAAUAUAAAGUCAGCGGGAAAAAUUCGGGGCUCAACCCCGGCGUGCCGUUGAAACUGAUGUUCUUGAGGGGGCGAGAAGUAAGCGGAAUG